UCACUGGGAAGAGGGAUUGAUUGUUAAACCACUUGUGGAAAUUGUAGCUCUGUGAGGAGGAAGCCAUUUAAAGUGCUAUCAUUAUGUUUUACAUGUGUUGUUCCGAUAUGGCUUCUUGGGCACAGAGAGAGCAGGGCAAGCAAGUGGACAACGGCAACAGUGAAAAGGCUGUCUGGUCCACAUCCAGUUUAAAGUUAAAGAACCAGAGGAAGGGGGAGAGAGCAGCAUCCAUGAAGUUGCUCAACAGUCCACACACAUGGAUCACCUGGUCACUGUCUUAUCCAUGAUGAUUCCUCUGCUUGAAGGCGGGCCACUGUCAGUACCGACACCCUUCACCGGCAGACAGCAGUCCCCUCAGAAGGUGGAGUACAUCACCUGCAGGAGAGGCAAAGCGAGCUUGCUUUCUCACCUUGCCCACUUACAUUAAAUUUUGCUGCAUCUCUGGAUUGCAUGGGAGAAGUAGGUGGGGGCACAUUGGCAGAAGAGGAAGUGGGCAGAGGAAGAAGUGUCAUGGCAUUUUGUGUAAAUGCAAGUAUUCACACAAUAUAUGCAUAUGUUUUCUGAGGUCCCAGGAAAUUUCUGUCCCCUGUGCCCCCCUUUUGACCCCCAAUGUACCCACUGCACCCCCUCUCCUGGGUCCUGUGCUCUGCCACUGAGCUAUGGCUUUUCCCGCUUGUCUUGCAGUAGCUUAUCCAAAUUGACCCAAUUUCCCUUGAAACUUCUCCCGUUGAAGCAAGACCCUAAAAAUGUGUUUUUAUGUGAAAUUUUGUUCCAAAUUUACUUGGGACAGGAGAGACAUCAGCUUGAACCCUGAUAAAGAAAGCCUAUUUAAUCUGCAGUGUUUGCAUGAAAUGGAUGGGGAAAAAAGCUCAUGGCAUCUUCCUAUGCCAUGAAGAUGCUUUGAAGGUGUUAGAAAUAUUUAAUUUGCAUCAUUCACAGGGGGGAAAUGUAAACUAGACCAACUCUGUUCUGAGCUGUAAGAAAUAAAUGCUUCGAAAUGGGGAAUAAGGAGGUUAGGGUAAAGUGACCCGCAGAUAACGACAGGCUAAAGUUUUGCUGUCAUGCUGCACAAAAUGUUUUAGAAUGGAAAAUAAUUAAUGUUGAGUAAAGAAUGGAGCUGAGAUUAUUAUAAUGAGAUACAGUGUGCUCUUCCGACCAUCUAGGGGUCAAUGUUACUUGGUUCCAAAUGGUUACGAGUAAGUAAGAAUUGUCCUGCUAUAAAGUAGAAAUAAUGCAAUGGUAUGCAGUCAGUUUUACAGUGACCUUAAGGUUAAUGGUAGUUGCUCUUAGUAUGUUUAUAAAGGUUUAAAAGAGACAUAUGAACUGAAGAUUUUAA
Molecule: non-coding RNA, 1336 nt
Organism: Podarcis muralis (Common wall lizard)
Lineage: Eukaryota; Metazoa; Chordata; Lepidosauria; Squamata; Lacertidae
Source: RefSeq, a predicted model, not a curated record